UCCAGACUCCUACGGGAGGCAGCAGUGGGGGAUAUUGCACAAUGGGGGGAACCCUGAUGCAGCGACGCCGCGUGGGUGAAGGAGCGUUUCGGCGCGUAAAGCCCUAUCGGCAGGGAAGAAGGAGGACGGUACCUGACUAAGAAGCCCCGGCUAGCUACGUGCCAGCAGCCGCGGUAAUACGUAGGGGGCAAGCGUUAUCCGGAUUUACUGGGUGUAAAGGGGGCGCAGACGGCAGCGCAAGCCAGGAGUGAAAGCCCGGGGCCCAACCCCGGGACUGCUCUUGGAACUGCGCGGCUGGAGUGCAGGAGGGGCAGGCGGAAUUCCUGGUGUAGCGGUGAAAUGCGUAGAUAUCAGGAGGAACACCGGUGGCGAAGGCGGCCUGCUGGACUGCGACUGACGUUGAGGCCCGAAAGCGUGGGGAGCAAACAGGAUUAGAUACCCUAGUA
Molecule: ribosomal RNA, 446 nt
Filed under: uncultured bacterium
Lineage: Bacteria
Description: partial 16S ribosomal RNA
Rfam family: Bacterial small subunit ribosomal RNA
Source: RNAcentral